Molecule: long non-coding RNA, 1905 nt
Organism: Onychostruthus taczanowskii (white-rumped snowfinch)
Lineage: Eukaryota; Metazoa; Chordata; Aves; Passeriformes; Passeridae
Exons: 4
Source: RefSeq, a predicted model, not a curated record
CUAACCAAGAGCAUGUCUGAUUUUAGAGCUGUAUGUUUGUACUGGAAGAAAGCUUCUCUUACUCUUUGCAUUACUGAUCUCUGUUUUUCUCUUGGGGCUGGAACACAAAAUUCGUGACAUGUGCUGAGAAUCUGAGAUUCCCAUAUAUAACCCUGUCAUGGAAUUCUGUGAAGGAGUAAUUUCUGGUUCUGGGUGUCCACAGACCUGAACUGCAUGAAAAGUUCACAACAGAGAGUUGCCAGCCUGGUUUGCUUGGAUGCCACUGGCCAUGAGAGCUCCUGCAGAAGCACAUCUAUGUUCAUCCUGGCCUCAUUUAUUCUCUAAGCAGACACUGUGAUGUACCCUAAGGUUUUCAUUCAUUCACAGUAUGAGGCUGCAUGGCAUCUGUGCACUUCCUCACACCCUGAAUCAGUUCAAUUCUGUUUCUUUGCUUGCCUACCAUCAACCUGUGUCUUGUCAAAGGCUUUUGACUGCCUUUGUGGCCCGUGAAGCCAACACUUCACACAGGCAAUUCAGAGCCAUCUCCUGCCAAUGUUUCUCAGGCCUCUUCGGUUUUGUCUGCUGAUGAAGAUGUUUCCUGAGAGAAAUCUUAGACCCUAAAAGGUUAUCCUGCAUGCCAAGAGAAGGCUGUACUGCUACUGCCAAGCUUCUGACAUCUUUCACAAUUUUAAUGAGAAGUUUAAAGCCCUACUGGUAUCCUUUGGAGGGAAAACUGUUCAUGAAAUAUGAGCUACCAGCUGAAAAUAAUAGUAUAUUUUGAACCUGGGAGUCAAGUUAAAUUAACAUCACAACUAAAAGACAAAUAUGAUAAUCUUUCCUGUUGCUCAUUUUUUCCAGUUGAGGCAUUUGUUGCUUAAUUGUGACUGACUUUACGCAUAAAUAGCUUUGCAGGGUUAAUACAUUGCUUUCUAGCAAGUAUCUGGACACUUUCCCCCUUAAGACCAGUCUGUGUUCUCCUGGUGCCCGUUUCCUCUCUCCCUCCUUCCCCCACUCCAAAUGCCCUAGGUUGUGUUCAGAUGGGAAGGGCAUCAGUGUAUCCACAGGAACAAUCAAGCACAGAGCUCUCAGAUUUAAAGCCCUGCAGUGGAGAUGCAUGGAUGGUAAAGACGAAGUUUCCAGUUUGGCAUUUCAUCCUGGAUUCAGGAUACGCAGCUUUGCCUGGUUACACCUUUAUUGAAACUUUUAACAGCAGUGAUGGAGCAGCACUAAUUUUAAAAGACAGACAGCAUUUGCUGCAGGGCACGGCUGAGCCCCUCGGCCCCGGGGAAAGCCCGGGCAAGGGAGGGCAAAACGCUGCCCGGCAGCCAGGGCUGAGCCAGGGGAAGCGAGCGAGAAACAGCCCUGCGAGCCCCGAGGGGACAGCGGGAGCAGGGACGGGGCAGGAGAGGCCCGGCAGGGAUGGCCCUGCGGCCUGCGAGAAAUUUAUUCUCCCCACCAUGUGUUUCUGUCUUUAUUUGGUGAACUAGAAGAAAUAAUUAACUUUUUUUUUCAGGUCUGUAUAAGGCUAGGAUCUCCUUAGAUGUGAACUCUGCAGGAGUAGUUUCUUUCUUCUAUGGCAAUUUUAUCUAAAAAAUGGAAUAUUCAGCCUAAAUAUGACCACUCAGUAGUGAGCUAUGCUGCCUGAACAGCUAUGGACAGGAAUUCCCAGUCUCACCCUGUGGCCUACAUUCCUGUGCAGAAAUGCAUAGGAAUGUCCCUGAUUUUGGUUCCAUGAUGGCUGAUCAGGCCAACCACACCAUUUCUCACUGUUGUUUUAAAUGAUGGCUGUUUACAUUUAUAUGAUGCCGUUUGAUUCUUUGCCUUUCCUGAGAUGUUAGCUGAAAACUGAAAACAAUGGUAACAAAUAACCAGUGGAGGACAAAGGGCUUUUUGUUUAAAAAUAGAGAAUGUGAAUGCUAAUUUUGG